Molecule: non-coding RNA, 923 nt
Organism: Cucurbita pepo subsp. pepo (vegetable marrow)
Lineage: Eukaryota; Viridiplantae; Streptophyta; Magnoliopsida; Cucurbitales; Cucurbitaceae
Source: RefSeq, a predicted model, not a curated record
CCUAUUUUGUGUCAAAUUCUCUUUGUUCACGUGCGUAGCACAUGCGCUACAAUCACACAACUCGGGUAUGCAAUUGCUGGGCUUCGAGGUUUCGUUUCGGCCGCGAAGAGCGUACUUUCCCCAACGAAGAAACCCAGGUUCCAUUUUUUCGCAGUGAAUAGAAGCUUUAAGAAACUGGGUUUUUUCGUUUGGGUCAAAUCCAGAAUCCCUUUUAGCCGUUCUGGUUUCUGAUUCUGAUUCCCACAAGAAAUUGGUUUAAGAGACAAUGGGUUCUGAUGGGUCUUUUGCCUGAGAUUGGCCCUGAUGGCCUUAGCCCCUGUAAUUGCGUACACUGAUAAUCGAGGAAGGGAGGCUUGAAUUGAAAAAGAUAUAUUGAAGAAAACUUAUCUAAAAUUCGGGAUGUUGAACGAGAGUUUCCAAAUCUUACAAUGGAGAUGAUACUCACAUCAGGGCCAAAAAAAAAAAGCAGUAUCUGUAGCACGAGGAAGAAAAUAGAAAUGACAAGAGAGUGAAUACGUGCAGGCAGGUUGAAGGAAGAACAAGCAAAGAAGGUUUGAAUUCAAGUGGAGUAUCAACUUGUGUUGCUCAUGUAGGUCUUGUAUUACAAGGAUAGUGGCUACUCCUUCUGGUUAGCCAUUCACAUAACCCCUGUUGAGAUACGAUGUAGAAUGUAUGCCCUUUGGGUUAACACGGGAUGAGAAAACAACGAGGGUCAAGUUAUGAAAGUAAAAUUGAUUUCUCUGCAGCCAAUAAUAAUUGUAUCAGGUAUUUAAGUGUUCUUACCUGUUACUCAAUUUCACAUCUAGCAGAGAUGAAAUGUGUUUGGACUUACGAGCAGGCAUUUAUGGAGACUGGUUGGUGAAAAAUAGUAGAAAGGCAUUGAAUUCAUUAAUUUGAAUCUGGAAAAAGGCACCAUUUAUUCA